UGACCCGUUGGACACGAGACGCUUGC
This 26-nucleotide non-coding RNA is filed under the name Homo sapiens (human). The record is from RNAcentral. Lineage: Eukaryota; Metazoa; Chordata; Mammalia; Primates; Hominidae.